Molecule: ribosomal RNA, 551 nt
Filed under: Suhomyces sp.
Lineage: Eukaryota; Fungi; Ascomycota; Pichiomycetes; Serinales; Debaryomycetaceae
Description: LSU rRNA
Rfam family: Eukaryotic large subunit ribosomal RNA
Source: RNAcentral
AAACCAACCGGGAUUGCCUUAGUAACGGCGAGUGAAGCGGCAAAAGCUCAAAUUUGAAAUCUGGCUCUAUUUUGGGGUCCGAAUUGUAAUUUGAAGAAGCGACUUUGGACCUGGCUCUUGUCUAUGUUCCUUGGAACAGGACGUCACAGAGGGUGAGAAUCCCGUGCGAUGAGAAGCCCAGGUUCGUGUAAAGCGUUUUCGACGAGUCGAGUUGUUUGGGAAUGCAGCUCUAAGUGGGUGGUAAAUUCCAUCUAAAGCUAAAUAUUGGCGAGAGACCGAUAGCGAACAAGUACAGUGAUGGAAAGAUGAAAAGAACUUUGAAAAGAGAGUGAAAAAGUACGUGAAAUUGUUGAAAGGGAAGGGCUUGAGAUCAGACUUUGUUUUUCCAUGGCGCUCUUUCGGGGGUGUCCUCUGGGUCUACAGGGCCAGCAUGGGUUUUGCGGGCGAGACAAGGACUCAGGAAUGUGGCUCUGCUUCGGUGGAGUGUUAUAGCCUGGGGUACUGGUCGCCAUGCGGGACCGAGGACUGCGGUACUAGGAUGCUGGCAUAAU